AAUUCGACGCAACGCGCAGAACCUUACCUGGUCUUGACAUCCCGAGAAUUUUCCGGAAACGGAGAAGUGCCUCGCAAGAGGAGCUUGGAGACAGGUGCUGCAUGGCUGUCGUCAGCUCGUGUCGUGAGAUGUUGGGUUAAGUCCCGCAACGAGCGCAACCCUUGUCUUUAGUUGCCAUCAUUAAGUUGGGCACUCUAAAGAGACUGCCGGUGUCAAACCGGAGGAAGGUGGGGAUGACGUCAAGUCCUCAUGGCCUUUAUGACCAGGGCUACACACGUACUACAAUGGCAGGUACAAAGGGCAGCCACUUAGCGAUAAGGCGCGAAUCCCAUAAAACCUGUCUCAGUCCGGAUUGGAGUCUGCAACUCGACUCCAUGAAGUUGGAAUCGCUAGUAAUCGUAGAUCAGCACGCUACGGUGAAUACGUUCCCGGGCAUGUGGUGUACAAGG
This 449-nucleotide ribosomal RNA is filed under the name uncultured Desulfocapsa sp. RNAcentral's name for it is "bacterial SSU rRNA". It matches the Rfam family "Bacterial small subunit ribosomal RNA", at positions 948 to 1379 of the family's 1533-position model. The record is from RNAcentral. Lineage: Bacteria; Pseudomonadati; Thermodesulfobacteriota; Desulfobulbia; Desulfobulbales; Desulfocapsaceae.